AAGCUUGCUUCUAUGACGUUAGCGGCGGACGGGUGAGUAACACGUGGGCAACCUGCCUGUAAGACUGGGAUAACUCCGGGAAACCGGAGCUAAUACCGGAUAACAUUUUCUCUUGCAUAAGAGAAAAUUGAAAGAUGGUUUCGGCUAUCACUUACAGAUGGGCCCGCGGUGCAUUAGCUAGUUGGUGAGGUAACGGCUCACCAAGGCAACGAUGCAUAGCCGACCUGAGAGGGUGAUCAGCCACACUGGGACUGAGACACGGCCCAGACUCCUACGGGAGGCAGCAGUAGGGAAUCUUCCGCAAUGGACGAAAGUCUGACGGAGCAACGCCGCGUGAGUGGUGAAGGCUUUCGGGUCGUAAAACUCUGUUGUUAGGGAAGAACAAGUACAAGAGUAACUGCUUGUACCUUGACGGUACCUAACCAGAAAGCCACGGCUAACUACGUGCCAGCAGCCGCGGUAAUACGUAGGUGGCAAGCGUUAUCCGGAAUUAUUGGGCGUAAAGCGCGCGCAGGCGGUUUCUUAAGUCUGAUGUGAAAGCCCACGGCUCAACCGUGGAGGGUCAUUGGAAACUGGGGAACUUGAGUGCAGAAGAGAAAAGCGGAAUUCCACGUGUAGCGGUGAAAUGCGUAGAGAUGUGGAGGAACACCAGUGGCGAAGGCGGCUUUUUGGUCUGUAACUGACGCUGAGGCGCGAAAGCGUGGGGAGCAAACAGGAUUAGGUACCCUGGUAGUCCACGCCGUAAACGAUGAGUGCUAGGUGUUAGAGGGUUUCCGCCCUUUAGUGCUGCAGCUAACGCAUUAAGCACUCCGCCUGGGGAGUACGGUCGCAAGACUGAAACUCAAAGGAAUUGACGGGGGCCCGCACAAGCGGUGGAGCAUGUGGUUUAAUUCGAAGCAACGCGAAGAACCUUACCAGGUCUUGACAUCCUCUGACAACUCUAGAGAUAGAGCGUUCCCCUUAGGGGGACAGAGUGACAGGUGGUGCAUGGUUGUCGUCAGCUCGUGUCGUGAGAUGUUGGGUUAAGUCCCGCAACGAGCGCAACCCUUGAUCUUAGUUGCCAGCAUUUAGUUGGGCACUCUAAGGUGACUGCCGGUGACAAACCGGAGGAAGGUGGGGAUGACGUCAAAUCAUCAUGCCCCUUAUGACCCGGGCUACACACGUGCUACAAUGGAUGGCACAAAGGGCUGCAAGACCGCGAGGUCAAGCCAAUCCCAUAAAACCAUUCUCAGUUCGGAUUGUAGGCUGCAACUCG
This 1255-nucleotide ribosomal RNA is filed under the name uncultured Bacillus sp. RNAcentral describes it as "bacterial SSU rRNA". It matches the Rfam family "Bacterial small subunit ribosomal RNA", at positions 76 to 1314 of the family's 1533-position model. Lineage: Bacteria; Bacillati; Bacillota; Bacilli; Caryophanales; Bacillaceae. The record is from RNAcentral.